UAAAUUUAUAGUUAAAAUGGAUUUGUUAUUAAUAUCCUUAUAAUUAUUUAGAAAUAUUAUAUAUUAAAUAAACUAAUGUAAACAAUAAAAAAAUUAUUUGAAUAUAUGGACCUAGACUUCUAGUAUGACUAUUUUGUAGUAGAUAAAAACGGUAUUUCUCUUUUAAUAUUGAAGAUAGAUAAGUAUUGAGAAAGGGAACAGGAGACAAAAAUUCUCCAAUAUAUAUUAAGAUCAAGUGGAUGCGCCCAUAACUGCUGAAUAUGUAUAUUUGUUUCUAGAGAAUAAUGAGAUUGAGGGCUGAAUCCUUCUCCAGAGUAUAUAUACCCCACUUAACGAUCCAUUUGUACUAUAGUACAGUUUAAUAUGUUUUUCUAAAAACGUGUAUAUUAAAAAACUCAAUGGAAAACACAAUUUCAUUGGAUAGUAAAUGACAUUCCAAAUUGAUAAUUUAUAAUUUUAAUAGAAACGAAUAGAUCAACAUUGUAUCUGUAAAGUUUGUUUAUGACACGGUAGUUGUAUGAAAAUAGUUGUAUAUUUUGUUAUAUCUUUUGAUAAUACCAAAUAAUACAACAGAAAAAAGCCAAAACAAUGAACACAGAUACGGAGAUCAGUCUUUCAUCACCAACGAAGCUUAUACAGUAGUUUUGAUUUUACCAUUCGAAAAAAAUCUUUUGUUCCAUUGGAAUAUAAGUUUUAUUAAAAUGUUUGAAACGUACCACUAUAAUCUCUCUAAGCAAUAUGACAAUGAGGAGUGUUCUUCUCCACAUUGACAAGCCAACGGAAACAAAUCAGAUAGAUAUCUUCCUGAUUUCCUUUUUCAACAUUCUUCUUGAUUUCUUGAAGUGAAUGUAUAAAAAGAAUCGGUAUUGGCCUACCUAGCUCUAGCCAAAUGUGUACAACGUAUUAAAUGAAAAUAUUUUAAGAAUAAAGAGGGUAAGAAACAAUUAUUUUCAGGCUGUAAUGGACCUAUGGGAUAACUUGUGUGCUCAUAUUAUAUUUGUAUAAUCAUUGAGUUGUAUGAAAAAAUGUUUCUCUGAGUAAAUGGUCUCCAAGCAAUCGAGUGCUUCUAGAAACAUCAUUUUGACAUAAAAUAGGCUAAGACUUGGUCGCUUCAUCGGUUAACCCAUUCAUAAGUUUGCUCUAUGCUCCUUCAUACGUGUGUGUAUUUUACGAAGAAAUAUGAUCAAAGAAGGGUAGUAUUGUAAAUAAAAGCGAACAGCAGGGAAGUUUACAAAAAAUGACAAAGACUUAUACUCUUCUUAUUGUUGUAUCUACUUCUUCAGAGCGAAGCAAGAGACAAAGUACGUAUAUUGUAUUUGGUAAGGAAGAGGAAGAAGCAGAGGUUCUUGAGAGAUGGCCUGAAGAAGCUAACUUUAAAGAGUGCCAAUGUCAUAAAAGGGGUCCUAUGGCACACAGGGUUAAGUCAGGCGAAAGAAGAAAUUAAAAGAAAAGAUGCUAGUAGCUGAAUGAGAUGAAACACGUACGAAGGUCUUCAAUAUGUGAGAGUUGCUGUAAUGUAGAUAACCGAUAUAUAUCCAGUUAGAAUAGAUGAGUUGGUGAUGCGAGUGAGAUUGAGAAGAUGGAUUUCAUCUUUCCUUUUUCAACGUAUAGAAAUGGUAGAUCAUCGGUUUCAAAUGUGCGGUUUUAUUAAAAGCUAUCUACAUAACCCCAAACUUCAUAAUCUCUUCUUGUUUAAACAAACAUAUGAAUCAUAUCAUCAUGUCGGUUCGCAAAAUAAUCAAGCUCUGAGAUAUGAUCAUGUGAAGUUCAUUGAUUCCCUUGACUUAAAAAGUUCAUUGAUUCGAAUCAGUUAGGAUGUUCUUUUUUUUUUCCGGCAGACGGUAGAAAAUAAUUUAGCAAAAAAAAAAAGACGAGAAAAUAAAUAUGAUUUCAUGGACUUACACCAUUUUGCAGAUAAAAUAAAAUACACUCCACAAUCCAUUAGAAUAUUAUAUACAAAUUAGUACAGAAAAUACAUCAUGUGAUGUGUGAAACUACUGGUAAAUACACUAAAACAUGAAAAUAAUACGUCUAAAAGCAGUUUUAAGUUUUUAUUAAUUAACAUAAUAGGGCAGUUGUUGCUACUAUGAUAGUUUUGUUUAACCAAACUCAUCUCCUCCUUACAAACAAACUAAAUUAACCUAGAUUUAAGUGUCUAUUAUCUUAACUUAACUAAAUUUAAUAUAUACUUUUACUUUAAUAUUUAACAUAAGCUUUGACUAACAAACAAAACAAAGUGAAUCCACAUCUCUUUCUUCUUCGUCUUGAAUGCGCAAACAUUUUUUAUAGAAUAAAAUUUGUUUCUUCGAAAUUUUUAUUUUCAAGAAAAAUUUAAUCAACUAUUAUCUGUAUUAUUAUAUUUAUCUUUUGAGAUAUGCAAGCUAUAUUUCUAAUGGUGGUGUAAAGGUCAUGUAUACAACAAUGUCAAUGGCGAAGAUCGCUUCAACCAUGGUGUCUUUGUCUCCUCCUCUUCGUGCUCAGCUCCUACGUCCAAGAUGCCGUCGAUGUGAGGUCUCGUCCACCGGUGGUCAUUGCUCUUCGUCGCGUCUCGUCAACAUCGACUUCUCCACGUCUCAAGCCCACGACCUCUCCAUCUCCAAAUCAUGUUCUAUGGCGUGUCUCUGCUGCGUCAUAGCCGACUCUCCAUUGUCGUAAACGAGAUGGGACGAGAAGUGCGAUCUGCAACAUCAACGGAGGAGUAUCAUUUUUUUGCAAUUUUGGUCCUCUAGUUUACUCUUUCUUUCACAAUAUGCUUCAAACUUCCAAUCUGAUCAAAUUACUUCACAAAUUUACCCCAACAUUGAUGUACAUAUAUGGAUAACAUACUAGUAUGCACCGGUGUACAUGUGAGUCGUUGUACAAGUGGACAACGAUAUGUGUGUACAUUUGAAUGCUAUUUAAAUUUGCAAAUGUUAUAACUUACAAAUGUAUGUUAUAUAUCUUUAUGAAAUGCAUCAGGAAAACCAUUUGGUCAUGCUCCUCCCGGGUACCAUAAGCAUCUCUUCGAAACCAUUAUCAUCGUGGAACCAGAAACAAGGGAUGUCCGUUUCAUGUACAUAUGAAUCAUUGUAAAUAUGGAUAGUGUAAUUGUAUGUACAACAUAUGAUAUACAUAUGAAUCAUUUAUUUUUUCAUUUUUUAAUGAGUGGUAUUUUCGUAAAAUGAGAUAUCAUAUAUGUACACAUGAGCAGUUUACACAUCGAUGUACAUAUAUAGAUAACAUACUAGUAUACACCGGUGUACAUGUGAGUCAUUAUACAAAUGGACAACGAUAUGUGUGUACAUUUCAAUGCUAUUUAAAUUUGCAAAUGUUAUAACUUACAAAUGUAUGUUAUACAUUUUUAUGGAAUGCAUCAGGAAAAACAUUUGGUCCUGCUCCUCCCGGGUACCAUAAGCAUCUUUUCAAAACCAUCAUCAUCGUGGAACCAGAAACAAAGAAUGUCUCGUUUCAUGUACAUAUGAAUCGUUGUACAUGUGGAUAGUGUAAUUGUAUGUACAGCAUAUCAUGUACAUAUGAUUCAUUUAAUUUUUAAUUUUUUAAUAAGUAGCAUUUUCGUAAUUUUAACUUCAUCUUCUCUAAAAUCAGUUAGGGGUUUCUGCAAUUUCCCUCUAUUGCCGCCAACCAUUAUUUCCACAUUAAUUAUCAGUUUUUUUUCUUGUGUAGUAUACCUUUAAACCUUUAGAAAUAUCGUAUAAGACACAAUUUCAAGCUCUAAAUGAUUCUAUUUUUUCAAAAAAAAAAACUAAAUCUUGCUUCAUCUUUUUAUUAUUGUCACAUCACGAUGCGGAUGAGUUGCAGAGCACGCUGUGAAGGAGAAAGCUCUCCGACAGCUUCCGGCAUCACCGCUGUUUUUAUUAUAUGAUUACACCAUUGUUUUCAUGGUUACAAAAUAUAGGAAAGAAGAUGAAAUACUGAAUAAUUCCACUUAAUCAUAUCUAAAUUAUACUUUAGUUAGAAAAUAAUAAAAUAAGUUAGAAGAAAGUGUCUAAUGAAAAAUAACUGCACUAGAGUGUAAUAAAAAACUUAAAACUGUUCUAGAGUGAAAAUAACUCCUAAAAUAUUUGGUCGUGCGUAAUCAAUUUAUAAUGUAAGUCGGUCCAUCCCAUCAGUUCGGAGUCAUCUCCCAAAGUACAUUAUAUUGAGCUGUGGUUGGACAACCUAAUGGCUUAACUCUUAAGCAUGGAGGUCCACUCCGUCUCACCUAGAAUGGUUCUAAACUUACUAAUAGUGCUUAGAAUAUUUUUUACUUUCUUUUAAUGUAAUAUAAUACUCUAUCCGAGAGUUUCGGACGGAAAACAUAUGUUUCUUGAUAUUUUUGAAUGAUGACACGUAAAAAUACGUAGAAAUACUGUUACAAAAUAUUACUAUAUUACAUACUAUUUUCACAAAUUAAUCUUCACACCAUAUAUGAAAGAUAUGCAAACAAAAAAUUAUGAUGGUUAUAAAUAAUCUUUUUAAUCUGUUCAUUUCAAAAUGAUUCAUGUUUUACCGUUUUACAUACGUUAAUAAAAUAUAUUAAAUUUUAAUUAUAAUUAUAGUUUCAAUUUUGUGAUUAAUUACUUUUCAUAAUUUUUAGCCAAAAAAUUAAUAAACAUAAGUAAUUUUAAAAUUUUACAUUUUACUAAUUUACCUAAUAAAAUAUAGGGAAACUAUAUAUUAAACUAUGAAAAAUGUAUUUCAAUUUUUUUUUUCAAAAAUAGAAUCGUUUUGAAACUUAGGGAAUAUUGAUUAACAAAUCAUUAGAGCACAGUUUACUGAUUCACAUAUAGUUAAAUCACUGUUUUACUCAAAUUUGACUCAUUUGAUAGCCAUCGGAAGACUAAUUUAUGUCUGAUCGUUAAUAUCGCCUACUUGGAUUCAGCGUAAAAAUAGCCUUGUCACAAAUCUAAGUAAUUCACUAUUGCGGAUAUGUAAAUAUUUAUUUUGGAUAAAAAUAUAAAUACUUAAAUAGUCUCUUGUUUUUUUGUCACGUUAAUUGAAAUUAUCGAUCAGUUGUUUACUGGAUAUAUACAUUUUUGUUACUCCGACAUUCCCAUAACCGACUCUAGAAUCUAUACCCAACUCUAACAAACCACAACACAAAAAGUACAAAGAAGAACGUCAAAAAGUACAUUGUUUCACAAAGUUAAUUUCAUUUCUCGAGGUAGACAGACGCAAUGCUACUAUUAAUUUCUUUGAUUGGUAACAGAAACUCAUCAUUAACAAUAACAAUGGAAAAGUCUUGGUCAACGUUCGUCAACCACGACCCUAACUAAAGUUUGGCAUUGCCAUUAUAUUGUCACUAAACAUUUCGAGCAACUAUAAAUCACAAAAUCACACUCAUUCCAUUUCUAAACAAGACUUGAUUUAUAACCAAGUCAACUACAUGAUUCCAUAUCCAAUGCAGUUAGCUUAAGUGUAUGCUUCCUAUACCAAAUAACAACGGAUUAAUUUUGCUCAAAAAAAACAACGGAUUAAUUAGCGGUUAUGAUUCGUAAUCAUUAAAUAUUUAACCUAAAAAAUUGUUUGUUUUAGUUUGCAUUUAAAAAUAAAUGGGAUUAUGGGUUGAGGACGGGAACAGAAGAUAAUCAAAUUAACCUAAUGACGACAAUUACGAGAAGGGUAUCUCUAAGAUCGAGUAAGAACACAAUGCUCCAUAAAGACAUUUUUUUUAUUAAUCAAUGGGAAGGAAGGUACACCACUUUCAAUCUCUGAGGUGUGUUUAUUUGUAGUUUUAGUUUGAAAAAAAUAAUAAAAAGUAUAAUCUCUGUUCGUCUUCAUUGCUUGUCUGCAGAUCCGUGUUCCGUUGCGUUUGAUUUUCUAUUUUUCUUUCCAUUUUUGCAUAUUUUAAAGAAGUAAUUCGAAUAAAUAGAUUAGUAAAAAAAAUAGAGCGCUCCAUAUUUUGUCUUUCCAUGACAUCAUUUUGUCUUGUAAUUCAGUACUUCACGAGGUUGUGUCAGAUCUUUUUUUUUACAGAUAAUUUUGCACUGCUCUAAAAUCUAGACACUGCGUAAAAGAAAUAUACAGUAAAUACAUACUAGUAUUACUCUCUCUAUUCUAAAAUGUAAAAUGUAAGAUGUUUAAAAUAAUUUUUGUGUUCUAAUAAAUAAGAUAUUUUCAUCUUUCUAAAUAAUUUUAAGUUUAUCAAAAACUGUGUAGCCAAUCAAAUUUAAUAAUUAUAUUUUGUAAUUGGUUAAGUAAUUUUUAUUUUAUAAUUUUAAUGAUAUUUUUUAGAUAAAAAGUAAUUUUCUUAAUAAGUGGUACUACGCAAAAUUUUUAUAUUUCAGAACAUAAGGAGUACUAUUAUUUUAGCUUAAGGUUUAUUAUCUCUUCUUUUGUUUUUAUCAAAUAACUAGGUUCUUUUCCCGGGCUACGCCCGGGUUAUUUAUUUAUUUAGAACGGUUUAAUGUGAACUUUUUUUUUUUUUUUUGUAACAUCGGUUUAAUGUGAAUAUACCAUCUUUUUGUUGGUUGAAUGUUACAUAUAACUUUUUUUUGCAUUUUGUUAUGUAACAAAAAAAUUUUUUUUUUUAGUUUUCUAAAAUAUCAAAACUAAAAAUUUGUGUUCCACGUGAGUUUAACACAUUUUCUGAACCUAAAAAGGAAUUAUUAUAUUGAUCAAAGAGUACUAUACGAAUUUUAGAUCAUAUUUUUUUUAUAAAAAAAAACUCAUUUGCACCCAAACGGAAAUCUCAAAACUAUAUUUGAUUGCAUCCAAACAUCAAAAAUGGAGAAUCUACCGUAAUAAGGAGUAUA
This is a long non-coding RNA of Brassica rapa (field mustard), 6734 nucleotides long. RefSeq lists it as uncharacterized. The record is from RefSeq and is a predicted model, not a curated record. NCBI's taxonomy places the organism in Eukaryota, Viridiplantae, Streptophyta, Magnoliopsida, Brassicales, Brassicaceae.